This 646-nucleotide long non-coding RNA is filed under the name Mus musculus (house mouse). RNAcentral's name for it is "predicted gene, 50191". Lineage: Eukaryota; Metazoa; Chordata; Mammalia; Rodentia; Muridae. The record is from RNAcentral.
AGUCUUCCACUAGCAGCCUUUGGAUGAAGACAUAGAACUCUCAGCUCCUCCUGUGCCAUGCCUGCUUGGAUACUGCCAUGCUCCCACCUUGAUAAUGGACUGAACUUCUGAACCUAGAUCUCUGAGCCAAUUACGAAGGCUAAUCCAGAACUGGCAAGGGGGAUUUCUAUGGUUCAACUCUCCCCACUGAAACUCUUGUCUAAAUCUAUUCGUCAUUGUGAAUGUUCCACACAGGAACAGGCUAGGUUCUGAGAAGAGGCGCCCGAGGCAAUCUCACCACUGUGUGAACAUUCAGAGGCAUACGCAAAGGGAAAUGACACAGCAAAAACACAGGACAACAAAAGCAAAAAAUGACCAAGACUAAAGCAACCUCAAAGGCUACCACACGGCAAGGAAAUAUUCCAUAAAAUGAAAAGAGACCUAAGAAGAGAUGGAAAAUACUUGUGAGCCAUAUAGCUGAAAAAGGCUUAGCACCUGAAAUCCACAAGAAACACAACCAAAUAUUAACAAAUUAAGUCCAAUAUAACUCAAUUUAUUAAUUGACUAAGACACUGAAUGUAUUUUUCCUAAAGACCUGCAGUCAGCCAAGAGAUUUACUGGGGGAUCUUUAGCAUCAUUAACCACCAGAGAAAUACAAACCAAAGCC